This 944-nucleotide ribosomal RNA is filed under the name uncultured archaeon. RNAcentral describes it as "bacterial SSU rRNA". It matches the Rfam family "Archaeal small subunit ribosomal RNA", at positions 1 to 925 of the family's 1478-position model. The record is from RNAcentral.
UUCCGGUUGAUCCUGCGGACCCCACUGCUAUCGGGGUGGGACUAAGGCAUGCUAGUCUGCGCCCUCCGGCCAUGGGGAGGACGCGGCGGACAGCUCCGUAACACGUAGCUAACCUACCCUCAGGACGGGGAUAACCCCGGGAAACUGGGGCUAAUCCCCGAUAGGCGAGAGGGCCUGGAUGGUCUCUCGCCUAAAGGAUGCGGGAACCAUGCCUUCCCGUAUCGCCUGAGGAUGGGGCUGCGGCCCAUCAGGUAGUUGGUGAGGUAACGGCUCACCAAGCCGAUAACGGGUACGGGCCGUGAGAGCGGGAGCCCGGAGAUGGGCACUGAGACAAGGGCCCAGGCCCUACGGGGCGCAGCAGCCGCGAAACCUCUGCAAUGCGCGCAAGCGCGACAGGGCUACCCCGAGUGCCACCCGCUGAGGGUGGCUUUUCUCCGGUGUAAUGAGCCGGAGGAAUAAGGGGAGGGCAAGCCUGGUGUCAGCCGCCGCGGUAAUACCAGCUCCCCGAGUGGUGGGGACGAUUAUUGGGCCUAAAGCGUCCGUAGCCGGUCUGGCAAGUCCCCCGUUAAAUCCAACGAUCUAAUCGUUGGACUGCGGGGGAUACUGCCAGACUAGGGGGCGGGAGAGGCCGACGGUACUCCUGGGGUAGGGGUGAAAUCCUAUAAUCCCAGGAGGACCACCAGUGGCGAAGGCGGUCGGCUAGAACGCGCCCGACGGUGAGGGACGAAAGCUGGGGGAGCGAUCCGGAUUAGAUACCCGGGUAGUCCCAGCCGUAAACGAUGCGGGCUAGGUGUUGGCGUGACCACGAGUCACGCCAGUGCCGCAGGGAAGCCGUUAAGCCCGCCGCCUGGGGAGUACGGUCGCAAGACUGAAACUUAAAGGAAUUGGCGGGGGAGCACAGCAACGGGAGGAGCGUGCGGUUUAAUUGGAUCAACGCCGGAAAU